AGACAGAUUAACAGGAAAAAAGCAUACAAGUUUUCCGUGACAUAAGAGCCUUCAUAAGGAAAUAAGACCUGUAGAGACAGUUAGACCUGAGUAUUUUUAUGCUAGGUUUGCUGAAAAAUGGACGGUCGUGGAGGAAUAUGAUAGGUUUGAGAGUAUGAGUUUUCCUUUCAUGUACACCAAAUAAAUAUGAACACCUUCUUGAUGCCUCUUCCCACAAUGUGUCCUCCUGUGUAUGUGCACCCCUGGUGUCUCUCCUUCAACUUAUAAGGACACUAAAUCAGGGGGAGGGUAUAGCUCAGUGGUAGAGCACAUGCUUAGCAUGCACGAGGUCCUGGGUUCAAUCCCCAGUACCUCCUCUAAAAAUAAAUACCUAAUUACCCCCCCCACCAAAAUAAAAUAAUUAAAUAAUACAAUAAUAAAUAAAUAAAAUAUUUUUUAAAAUAUAAGGACACUAGUCAUAUUUGAUUAAAGUCCACCCUAAUAGCCUCAUUUUAACUUUGUUACCCCUUUACAAGCCCUAUCUCCAAACACUGUUACUUUCUGAGGUACUGGGGGUUACUUUCUGAGGUACUCAACACACUUCAGUCCAUAACUGGAAGUAACAUUUCUUGAUAAUAAAAAUAGCUAACAUUCACUGAGCAAUUCUUAUAUGCUAUCAACCAUAAUAAGCACUUUAAACAUUUUAACUCAUUUCAUCCUCAUAACAACCCGAUGAGCUAGAUACUUUUAUAAUCCCCAUUCUGCAGAUACAAAGACUGGGGCAGAGAGAGCGUAAGUAACUUGCCCAAGGUCUCACAGCUAGAAAGUGGCAGAGCAAGGAUAUGAAUCCAGAUGUCUUGGCUACAAAACCCAAGACACUUUAUAGCAUAUAGACCGAAAUGUUUUUUCAGCAGAAAACCUGCUAUCCCAAAUUGGUUAACUAUGGUUCAAUAUUCUGUCUGUUAUGGACUGAAUUGUGCUCCCUAAAAUUCAUAUAUUGAAUCCCUCACCCGUAUUGUGACUAUAUUUGGAGAAAGGGCCUUUAAAGAGAUGAUCAUGGUUAAAGGCAGUCAUAAGAAUGGGACCCUAAUCCAGUAGGAUUAUUGUGUUUACAAGAAGAAGCAGUGACACCAGGGGUGCAUGUGCACAGAGAAAGGCCAUGUGAAGAAAGCAAAAACGCACCCAUCUGCAAGCCAAGGAGAAACCAAACCUGCCGACACCACGAACUUGGACUUCCAGCCUCCAGAACUGAUGCCACAGAGGCCUGUGACAAAACCAGACUGAACUGGCUCCAUCCAAGAUGGUCAAAAUAAAAUAUCUAAAGUUGGAAGUGUCAUCGGAACAAAAAGAGGAGGAAGGCUCCAAAUCUGCUUUCCAAAAAGGAGCGCAAGGGAUCUGAGAGUCUGAGAGGCUGUGACUUGGAACUAAAGUCAAAAGAUACAGACAACCCUUGAAGACAAGGGAAGCCUGGAAGGUGACACUUGGGUCUAACCAGCAAGCAGCAGGACUGCCAUGUUAAAAUCCUCUCAGCAGCCGUCCUUCCACAGGGAUGAGGUUACGCAAGAGCCUUAAGUCCACAUAAAGCACUGCACUUGGGAAUCCUUCCCUCACCUUUUCUUCUUCUCUGCUUUCUGAAUCCUAGCCCUUCAGCUUUCUCAUGAGGCCUGUCUGGGUGGAAGCGGAGGACUAAACGAACAGAAUGCUGCAGCUCAGGCACUCCCGUGUGCACCAAAUGCACAAUGUCCACUUCAGCGAAACCCUCUUAACUUGCAAGAGGUAGCAAGCUUUAUUUGGAUGUUAAUAACAUAUGUGGCCCUGGUAAGGAGAGGGGAACUGAGAAAGAUGAAUGGCACUCAAAUCAAAGCAAAAGCCAGCUGCCCCUUCCUUUUUCUCUGUAGGCAUAAACCAGCACAGAAGUAGCCCCUGUUUCAAGGCAGGAGGGGAAGUCAGGGAGAAAACAAAAGGGGAGGCCUCUCUGAUGGAGUUCUAUUAAUUUUUUUUUUUACAAAGUUUAAAGGGCUUCUUUUGAAAAGCCAGCCUAGAAUUUAAGCUACUACCCCAAAUAAGACGUGGCAUUAUCUGCAGACAUCACCUAAUCCUGCACUGUGAAAUUAACAUUCGUCUAAAAAAAGGGAGUUUUCUCUUUUCAGAACCGACCUUUUUAAAAAUAUUCACAAUUUAGAUGAUUUUGGUUUUGCCAAUGAGAAGAAUUAGAACUUCUCUGGGGGAAAAAUGGGUUUCAACAGACAUUUUUGUUCUUCUCUGCUAAGAUUUUUGGUUCAGAAAUUUGGACUCCAGAUGCAUAAGAAAUCUUUAGCUUUUGAGACACAAAACAAUGUUUACCUGAUCUGGAGCUGUGAGUGAGGGUUCUUCUCAAAUGAGACUCAUUUCCUUGGGCUACAACACCCCAGUUUCCAGCACAGGCUGCCUGAAUCAUGGUGUUUUCCUAGUGAAGCUGGCUGGGUAAGGCACAGAUUAAAGGAGAUUACUCCUGUAGUUUGCACUACCUUAAAUUCAUUAUUACACUUCAUUUAGAAAUGUAAUUCAUUUAUUCAUUUCUUAAAAUCAUUGAGUGUGCUGAUGGGCAAAGUGGAAAUUAGUAAAAUUUCCCUGUCCCUCACAUCAGUUCUUUGUUAAUUUAUGCUGUGAAAAAAUUAAGAAUAAUAAACUUUCAUCUAAGCAUUCCCAAAACAUUA
Camelus dromedarius (Arabian camel) is the source of this 2675-nucleotide long non-coding RNA. RefSeq lists it as uncharacterized. Lineage: Eukaryota; Metazoa; Chordata; Mammalia; Artiodactyla; Camelidae. The transcript has 6 exons. The record is from RefSeq and is a predicted model, not a curated record.